ACCUCAGGCCAGUCCAUUACAGACUACAGCGGGGUGACACAGCUCAAGGAAGAACAUUUACGAUCAUUACUUUAUCAUUUCCUUGAAGUAAUAAUCACCAUAUUAAUCAUUUUACAGACGCGGUAGUUCCUCUGCCUUAGCGUCUUGGUCUGAUUGUAUUUCCAUAAAGAAAUGAUCAUAAAUGUUCUUCCUUGAGCUGCGUCACCCCGCUGUAGUCCGUAAUGGACUGGCCCGAGGUCUCACUACAAACAAGCAGCUGCUGGAAGAGAGUAGGUGAGUUGUGUUUAGUCUCUUUGUUAAAGAAAUGAGUCAAAGUUAAAAAGAUGUUUGGUGUCUAGUACUAUGGCUGUGACCCUAUAUGUCCUGUUGAUGAAGUUAGGUGCUG
Molecule: non-coding RNA, 385 nt
Organism: Xyrichtys novacula (pearly razorfish)
Lineage: Eukaryota; Metazoa; Chordata; Actinopteri; Labriformes; Labridae
Source: the annotation of a GenBank genome assembly